GGCAGCUCAAGUGGUGGCCAUUAUUAUUGGGCCUAAAGCGUUCGUAGCCGGUUUGAUAAGUCUCUGGUGAAAUCCCGCAGCUUAACUGUGGGACUUGCUGGAGAUACUAUCAGACUUGAGGUCGGGAGAGGUUAGGGGUACUCCCAGGGUAGGGGUGAAAUCCUAUAAUCCUGGGAGGACCACCUGUGGCGAAGGCGCCUAACUGGAACGAACCUGACGGUGAGUAACGAAAGCCAGGGGCGCGAACC
Molecule: ribosomal RNA, 248 nt
Filed under: uncultured euryarchaeote
Lineage: Archaea; Methanobacteriati; Methanobacteriota
Description: partial 16S ribosomal RNA
Rfam family: Archaeal small subunit ribosomal RNA
Source: RNAcentral